This 513-nucleotide ribosomal RNA is filed under the name uncultured bacterium. RNAcentral describes it as "bacterial SSU rRNA". It matches the Rfam family "Bacterial small subunit ribosomal RNA", at positions 8 to 526 of the family's 1533-position model. The record is from RNAcentral.
AGAGUUUGAUCAUGGCUCAGAAUCAACGCUGGCGGCGUGCCUAACACAUGCAAGUCGAACGCGAAAGGGGCUUCGGCCCUGAGUAGAGUGGCGAACGGGUGAGUAACACGUGGGUGACCUACCUUCGAGUGGGGGAUAACGUCCCGAAAGGGACGCUAAUACCGCAUGACAUCCUGCUUUUGGAAAAGCGGAGAUCAAAGCUGGGGAUCGCAAGACCUGGCGCUUGAAGAGGGGCCCGCGCCUGAUUAGCUAGUUGGUGGGGUAACGGCCUACCAAGGCGACGAUCAGUAGCUGGUCUGAGAGGAUGAUCAGCCACACUGGGACUGGGACACGGCCCAGACUCCUACGGGAGGCAGCAGUGGGGAAUAUUGGACAAUGGGCGCAAGCCUGAUCCAGCCAUGCCGCGUGAGUGAUGAAGGCCCUAGGGUUGCAAAGCUCUUUCGCACGCGACGAUAAUGACGGUAGCGUGAGAAGAAGCCCCGGCUAACUUCGUGCCAGCAGCGGCGGUAAUAC